This 880-nucleotide ribosomal RNA is filed under the name uncultured bacterium. Its description in RNAcentral is "bacterial SSU rRNA". It matches the Rfam family "Bacterial small subunit ribosomal RNA", at positions 28 to 889 of the family's 1533-position model. The record is from RNAcentral.
GACGAACGCUGGCGGCGUGCCUAAUACAUGCAAGUCGAGCGGACAGAUGGGAACUUGCUCCCUGAUGUUAGCGGCGGACGGGUGAGUAACACGUGAGUAACCUGCCUGUAAGACUGGGAUAACUCCGGGAAACCGCGGCUAAUACCGGAUGGUUGUCUGAACCGCAUGGUUCAGACAUAAAAGGUGGCUUCGGCUACCACUUACAGAUGGACCCGCGGCGCAUUAGCUAGUUGGUGAGGUAACGGCUCACCAAAGCGACGAUGCGUAGCCGACCUGAGAGGGUGAUCGGCCACACUGGGACUGAGACACGGCCCAGACUCCUACGGGAGGCAGCAGUAGGGAAUCUUCCGCAAUGGUCGAAAGUCUGACGGAGCAACGCCGCGUGAGUGAUGAAGGUUUUCGGAUCGUAAAGCUCUGUUGUUAGGGAAGAACAAAUGCCGUUCAAAUAGGGCGGCACCUUGACGGUACCUAACCAGAGAGCCACGGCUAACUACGUGCCAGCAGCCGCGGUAAUACGUAGGUGGCAAGCGUUGUCCGGAAUUAUUGGGCGUAAUGGGCUCGCAGGCGGUUUCUUAAGUCUGAUGUGAAAGCCCGCGGCUCAACCGGGGAGGGUCAUUGGAAACUGGGGAACUUGAGUGCAGAAGAGGAGAGUGGAAUUCCACGUGUAGCGGUGGAAUGCGUAGAGAUGUGGAGGAACACCAGUGGCGAAGGCGACUCUCUGGUCUGUAACUGACGCUGAGGAGCGAGAGCGUGGGGAGCGAACAGGAUUAGAUACCCUGGUAGUCCACGCCGUAAGCGAUGAGUGCUAAGUGUUAGGGGGUUCCCGCCCCUUAGUGCUGCAGCUAACGCAUUAAGCACUCCGCCUGGGGAGUACGGUCGC